GACGAACGCUGGCGGCGUGCUUAACACAUGCAAGUCGAGCGGAAAGGCCCCUUCGGGGGUACUCGAGCGGCGAACGGGUGAGUAACACGUGGGUAAUCCACCCAGGACACAGGGAUAACCCGGGGAAACCCGGGCUAAUACCUGAUGACGUGCCGGCCCUGCGGGGCUCGGCACCAAAGGUAGCUUCGGCCUCCGGUCUUGGACGAGCCCGCGGCCCAUUAGCUUGUUGGCGGGGUAACGGCCCACCAAGGCUACGAUGGGUAGCUGGUCUGAGAGGACGAUCAGCCACACUGGGACUGAGACACGGCCCAGACUCCUACGGGAGGCAGCAGUGGGGAAUCUUGCCCAAUGGGCGAAAGCCUGAGGCAGCAACGCCGCGUGCGGGAAGACGGCCUUCGGGUUGUAAACCGCUUUCAGCGGGGACGAAGGCGAGCGGGUUAAUAGCCCGAUCUCGUUGACGGUACCCGAAUAAGAAGUCCCGGCUAACUACGUGCCAGCAGCCGCUGUAAUAC
Molecule: ribosomal RNA, 512 nt
Filed under: uncultured bacterium
Lineage: Bacteria
Description: bacterial SSU rRNA
Rfam family: Bacterial small subunit ribosomal RNA
Source: RNAcentral